GUAGGUGGCAAGCGUUGUCCGGAAUUAUUGGGCGUAAGCGCGCGCAGGCGGUUCUUUAAGUCUGAUGUGAAAGCCCACGGCUCAACCGUGGAGGGUCAUUGGAAACUGGAGAACUUGAGUACAGAAGAGGAAAGCGGAAUUCCACGUGUAGCGGUGAAAUGCGUAGAGAUGUGGAGGAACACCAGUGGCGAAGGCGGCUUUCUGGUCUGUAACUGACGCUGAGGCGCGAAAGCGUGGGGAGCAAACAGGGAUUAGAUACCCUGGUAGUCCACGCCGUAAACGAUGAGUGCUAAGUGUUAGGGGGUUUCCGCCCCCUUAGUGCUGCAGCUAACGCAUUAAGCACUCCGCCUGGGGAUACGGCCGCAAGGCUG
RNAcentral lists this ribosomal RNA (371 nucleotides) under uncultured organism. Its description in RNAcentral is "partial 16S ribosomal RNA". It matches the Rfam family "Bacterial small subunit ribosomal RNA", at positions 527 to 896 of the family's 1533-position model. The record is from RNAcentral.